AAAUUGAAGAGUUUGAUCAUGGCUCAGAUUGAACGCUGGCGGCAGGCCUAACACAUGCAAGUCGAGCGGAAACGAGUUAUCUGAACCUUCGGGGAASGAUARCGGCGUCGAGCGGCGGACGGGUGAGUAAUGCCUAGGAAAUUGCCCUGAUGUGGGGGAUAACCAUUGGAAACGAUGGCUAAUACCGCAUGAUGCCUACGGGCCAAAGAGGGGGACCUUCGGGCCUCUCGCGUCAGGAUAUGCCUAGGUGGGAUUAGCUAGUUGGUGAGGUAAGGGCUCACCAAGGCGACGAUCCCUAGCUGGUCUGAGAGGAUGAUCAGCCAC
RNAcentral lists this ribosomal RNA (324 nucleotides) under Vibrio parahaemolyticus. Its description in RNAcentral is "bacterial SSU rRNA". The record is from RNAcentral. Lineage: Bacteria; Pseudomonadati; Pseudomonadota; Gammaproteobacteria; Vibrionales; Vibrionaceae.